GCGACACUAGCUCAGUUGGUAGAGCGCAACCUUGCCAAGGUUGAGUUCACGAGUUCGAACCUCGUGUGUCGCUCCA
RNAcentral lists this transfer RNA (76 nucleotides) under Vibrio parahaemolyticus 970107. RNAcentral's name for it is "tRNA-Gly". It matches the Rfam family "tRNA". Rfam says of the family: Transfer RNA (tRNA) molecules are approximately 80 nucleotides in length. Their secondary structure includes four short double-helical elements and three loops (D, anti-codon, and T loops). Further hydrogen bonds mediate the characteristic L-shaped molecular structure. tRNAs have two regions of fundamental functional importance: the anti-codon, which is responsible for specific mRNA codon recognition, and the 3' end, to which the tRNAs corresponding amino acid is attached (by aminoacyl-tRNA synthetases). tRNAs cope with the degeneracy of the genetic code in two manners: having more than one tRNA (with a specific anti-codon) for a particular amino acid; and 'wobble' base-pairing, i.e. permitting non-standard base-pairing at the 3rd anti-codon position. Lineage: Bacteria; Pseudomonadati; Pseudomonadota; Gammaproteobacteria; Vibrionales; Vibrionaceae. The record is from RNAcentral.